AUUGAACGCUGGCGGCAGGCCUAACACAUGCAAGUCGAGCGGAUGAAGGGAGCUUGCUCCUGGAUUCAGCGGCGGACGGGUGAGUAAUGCCUAGGAAUCUGCCUGGUAGUGGGGGAUAACGUCCGGAAACGGGCGCUAAUACCGCAUACGUCCUGAGGGAGAAAGUGGGGGAUCUUCGGACCUCACGCUAUCAGAUGAGCCUAGGUCGGAUUAGCUAGUUGGUGGGGUAAAGGCCUACCAAGGCGACGAUCCGUAACUGGUCUGAGAGGAUGAUCAGUCACACUGGAACUGAGACACGGUCCAGACUCCUACGGGAGGCAGCAGUGGGGAAUAUUGGACAAUGGGCGAAAGCCUGAUCCAGCCAUGCCGCGUGUGUGAAGAAGGUCUUCGGAUUGUAAAGCACUUUAAGUUGGGAGGAAGGGCAGUAAGUUAAUACCUUGCUGUUUUGACGUUACCGACAGAAUAAGCACCGGCUAACUUCGUG
RNAcentral lists this ribosomal RNA (484 nucleotides) under uncultured bacterium. Its description in RNAcentral is "partial 16S ribosomal RNA". It matches the Rfam family "Bacterial small subunit ribosomal RNA", at positions 30 to 507 of the family's 1533-position model. The record is from RNAcentral.